CCUACGGGCGGCAGCAGUGAGGAAUAUUGGUCAAUGGGCGUGAGCCUGAACCAGCCAAGUCGCGUGAGGGAUGACGGCUCUAUGGAUCGUAAACCUCUUUUAUACGGGAAUAAAGUGCGGGACGUGUCCCGUUUUGUAUGUACCUUAUGAAUAAGGAUCGGCUAACUCCGUGCCAGCAGCCGCGGUAAUACGGAGGAUCCGAGCGUUAUCCGGAUUUAUUGGGUUUAAAGGGUGCGUAGGCGGCCUUUUAAGUCAGCGGUGAAAGUCUGUGGCUCAACCAUAGAAUUGCCGUUGAAACUGGGAGGCUAGAGAAUGUAUGAGGCAGGCGGAAUGCGUGGUGUAGCGGUGAAAUGCUUAGAUAUCACGCAGAACCCCGAUUGCGAAGGCAGCCUGCUAAGCCAUGACUGACGCUGAUGCACGAAAGCGUGGGGAUCAAACAGGAUUAGAUACCCCUGUAGUC
RNAcentral lists this ribosomal RNA (460 nucleotides) under uncultured bacterium. Its description in RNAcentral is "partial 16S ribosomal RNA". It matches the Rfam family "Bacterial small subunit ribosomal RNA", at positions 338 to 795 of the family's 1533-position model. The record is from RNAcentral.